Molecule: ribosomal RNA, 406 nt
Filed under: uncultured bacterium
Lineage: Bacteria
Description: partial 16S ribosomal RNA
Rfam family: Bacterial small subunit ribosomal RNA
Source: RNAcentral
AUUGAACGCUGGCGGCAGGCCUAAUACAUGCAAGUCGAACGAGUGGCGGACGGGUGAGUAUUGUUUGGGAAACUGCCUGAUGGAGGGGGAUAACUACUGGAAACGGUAGCUAAUACCGCAUACCAUCAGAUGUGCCCAGUUGGGUUUAGCUAGUUGGUGGGGUAACGCCUCACCAAGGCGACGAUCCCUAGCCGGUCUGAGAGGAUGACCGGCAACGUGGGAACUGAGACACGGUCCAGACUCCUACGGGAGUCAGCAGUGGGAAAUAUUGCACAAUGGGCGAAAGCCUGAUGCAGCCAUGCCGCGUGUAUGAAGAAGGCCUUCGGGUUGUAAGAUACUUUCAGCGGGGAGGCGUUACCCGCAGAAAAAGCGCCGGCUAACUCCGUGCCAGCAGCCGCGGUAAUUC